GAUUUCUGGUUUAAUGCACCUGGCCCGCGGCCACUAGGCUUGUGAGUGCCGGCGCGCGUUUACCAUCCUUCUAGAAAACGAUUCUGCCAUUAACUUGGUUGGGACCGCGAUCUAGAUCUUUUACUUUGAAAAAAUUAGAGUGUUUAAAGCAGGCUUUUGCUAUGAAUACAUUAGCAUGGAAUAAUAAUCUAGGACUUCGGUUCUAUUUUGUUGGUUUCUAUAACUGAAGUAAUGAUUGAUAGGGAUAGUUGGGGGUGCUAGUAUUGGCCGGCCAGAGGUGAAAUUCUUGGAUUCGGUCAAGACUAACUUAUGCGAAAGCAUU
Molecule: ribosomal RNA, 322 nt
Filed under: uncultured Cercozoa
Lineage: Eukaryota; Cercozoa
Description: SSU rRNA
Rfam family: Eukaryotic small subunit ribosomal RNA (bases 105-322)
Source: RNAcentral